ACGUAGGGUGCGAGCGUUGUCCGGAAUUAUUGGGCGUAAAGAGCUUGUAGGCGGUUCGUCGCGUCCGCUGUGAAAUUUCGGGGCUUAACCCCGAACUUGCAGUGGGUACGGGCAGACUAGAGUGUGGUAGGGGAGACUGGAAUUCCUGGUGUAGCGGUGAAAUGCGCAGAUAUCAGGAGGAACACCGAUGGCGAAGGCAGGUCUCUGGGCCACUACUGACGCUGAGAAGCGAAAGCAUGGGGAGCGAACA
RNAcentral lists this ribosomal RNA (250 nucleotides) under uncultured bacterium. Its description in RNAcentral is "partial 16S ribosomal RNA". It matches the Rfam family "Bacterial small subunit ribosomal RNA", at positions 525 to 774 of the family's 1533-position model. The record is from RNAcentral.